AUAGGGGAGCCGAAGGGAAACCGAGUCUUAAUUGGGCGUUAAGUUGCAGGGUAUAGACCCGAAACCCGGUGAUCUAGCCAUGGGCAGGUUGAAGGUUGGGUAACACUAACUGGAGGACCGAACCGACUAAUGUUGAAAAAUUAGCGGAUGACCUGUGGCUGGGGGUGAAAGGCCAAUCAAACCGGGAGAUAGCUGGUUCUCCCCGAAAGCUAUUUAGGUAGCGCCUCGUGAA
RNAcentral lists this ribosomal RNA (232 nucleotides) under Trabulsiella odontotermitis. RNAcentral describes it as "partial 23S ribosomal RNA". It matches the Rfam family "Bacterial large subunit ribosomal RNA", at positions 657 to 888 of the family's 2925-position model. Lineage: Bacteria; Pseudomonadati; Pseudomonadota; Gammaproteobacteria; Enterobacterales; Enterobacteriaceae. The record is from RNAcentral.